RNAcentral lists this ribosomal RNA (214 nucleotides) under uncultured bacterium. RNAcentral's name for it is "partial 16S ribosomal RNA". It matches the Rfam family "Bacterial small subunit ribosomal RNA", at positions 118 to 351 of the family's 1533-position model. The record is from RNAcentral.
UGGGAACGUGCCUUUUGGUUCGGAACAACCCAGGGAAACUUGGGCUAAUACCGGAUAAGCCCUUACGGGGAAAGAUUAUCGCCAAAAGAUCGGCCCGCGUCUGAUUAGCUAGUUGGUGGGGUAAUGGCCACCAAGGCAUUGAUCGGUAGCCGGCCUGAGAGGGCACACGGCCACACUGGCACUGAAACACGGGCCAGACUCCUACGGGAGGCAG